Molecule: long non-coding RNA, 608 nt
Organism: Malania oleifera
Lineage: Eukaryota; Viridiplantae; Streptophyta; Magnoliopsida; Santalales; Ximeniaceae
Exons: 2
Source: RefSeq, a predicted model, not a curated record
AUUUUCUUUUCACAAUGCCCCUGUUGAAGUACGUAGGGCAUUUUAGAUUUUCACUAUAAAACCUCCAUGAUGCUGUGCUGAACCGAAGCCCUAGCUCCCAAAAAACCCUAGAAGCGAGCUCCAGGAGGGGCUUCUCAGGUCUAGCUUAGUUGUGCGAAGAUGAAGACGUUUGGUGGAUAGUCCUGUUGUGCUCUGCAAAGAUGAAGCUGUCACGGUUAUCAGUCGUGAGAUUGUACAUCGUUGGUCUAGCGUGCAACGGUGGCUAUGUGCAAUGUCGGUGGAGGAGUGCAGACGUAGAAUGUGAAUGAAGGGUGGCUCUCAAGCAUGGACACCCACAAGGAGUAACUUAGAUGUUGGAGAGCAAUCUUUUAUAUGGUUGAAGUCCUAAAGAGAAAAAAAGUAGACAGGUACUACAUCAAUAUCCUGUUGGUGCCAAUAAAUCAAUAGCCAUGUGACUUAUAUUAUGAACCUCUUUCCUUCUUAAAAUUUUAAUACUUAAUAUUUUCUCUUUUUUAUGUUUUGUUAUCAAAGAAAAUAAGAACGAAAACAAAAAAAAAUAUCAUGUCAGUAAAUAAAAAUAUGAUUAUUACGAAUCAUUUAUAUUUGAU